CCCUUAGAUGUUCUGGGCCGCACGCGCGCUACACUGAUGCAUUCAACUAGCCUAGCCUUGACCGAGAGGUCCGGGUAAUCUUUGAAACUGCAUCGUGAUGGGGCUAGAUUAUUGCAAUUAUUAAUCUUCAACGAGGAAUGCCUAGUAAGCGUGAUUCAUCAAAUCGCGUUGAUUACGUCCCUGCCCUUUGUACACACCGCCCGUCGCUCCUACCGAUUGAAUGUGUUGGUGAGGAGCUCGGAUUGGCAGCAGUUGGUGGUUCGCCACCGGCUAUUGCUGAGAAGUCCUCCAAACCGCCCCAUUUAGAGGAAGGAGAAGUCGUAACA
This 326-nucleotide ribosomal RNA is filed under the name uncultured eukaryote. Its description in RNAcentral is "partial 18S ribosomal RNA". It matches the Rfam family "Eukaryotic small subunit ribosomal RNA", at positions 1470 to 1796 of the family's 1831-position model. The record is from RNAcentral.